Molecule: ribosomal RNA, 287 nt
Filed under: uncultured bacterium
Lineage: Bacteria
Description: partial 16S ribosomal RNA
Rfam family: Bacterial small subunit ribosomal RNA
Source: RNAcentral
CCUACGGGGCGCAGCAGUGAGGAAUAUUGGUCAAUGGUCGGGAGACUGAACCAGCCAAGCCGCGUGGGGAAUGAAGGUACAGAGUAUCGUAAACCUCUUUUGUCAGGGAACAAAGGCGGGGACGCGUCCCCGGAUGAGUGUACCUGAAGAAAAAGCAUCGGCUAACUCCGCGCCAGCAGCCGCGGUAAUACGGAGGAUGCGAGCGUUAUCCGGAUUUAUUGGGUUUAAAGGGGGCGCAGGCGGUGUGGUAGGUCAGCGGUCAAAGCCCGGGGCUCAACCCCGGCCCG